Molecule: ribosomal RNA, 211 nt
Filed under: uncultured bacterium
Lineage: Bacteria
Description: partial 16S ribosomal RNA
Rfam family: Bacterial small subunit ribosomal RNA
Source: RNAcentral
AGUUCAGAUUGCAGGCUGAAACUCGCCUGCAUGAAGUCGGAAUUGCUAGUAAUCGCAGAUCAGCAUGCUGCGGUGAAUACGUUCCCGGGCCUUGUACACACCGCCCGUCACACCAUGGGAGUCGGUAACACCCGAAGCCUGUAGUCUAACCGCAAGGAGGACGCAGUCGAAGGUGGGAUUGAUGACUGGGGUGAAGUCGUAACAAGGUAGC